This 253-nucleotide ribosomal RNA is filed under the name uncultured bacterium. RNAcentral's name for it is "partial 16S ribosomal RNA". It matches the Rfam family "Bacterial small subunit ribosomal RNA", at positions 524 to 776 of the family's 1533-position model. The record is from RNAcentral.
UACGUAGGGGGCAAGCGUUGUCCGGAUUUACUGGGCGUAAAGCGCGUGUAGGCGGCCACGCAGGUCCGUUGUGAAAACUAGAGGCUCAACCUCUAGACGUCGACGGAAACCGUGUGGCUAGAGUCCGGAAGAGGAGAGUGGAAUUCCUGGUGUAGCGGUGAAAUGCGCAGAUAUCAGGAAGAACACCAAUGGCGAAGGCAGCUCGCUGGGACGUUACUGACGCUGAGACGCGAAAGCGUGGGGAGCAAACAGG